This 260-nucleotide ribosomal RNA is filed under the name Acinetobacter albensis. RNAcentral describes it as "partial 16S ribosomal RNA". The record is from RNAcentral. Lineage: Bacteria; Pseudomonadati; Pseudomonadota; Gammaproteobacteria; Moraxellales; Moraxellaceae.
AMGURGCUYGCKACUYARCUUAGCGGCGGACGGGUGAGURAUACUUAKGARUCUGCCUAUUAGUGGGGGACRACAUUUCGAARGGAAUGCUAAUACCGCAUACGUCCUACGGGAGAAAGCAGGGGAUCACUUGUGACCUUGCGCUAAUAGAUGAGCCUAAGUCGGAUUAGCUAGUUGGUGGGGUAAAGGCCUACCAAGGCGACRAUCUGUAGCGGGUCUGAGAGGAUGAUCCGCCACACUGGGACUGAGACACGGCCCAG